RNAcentral lists this microRNA precursor (110 nucleotides) under Nicotiana tabacum (common tobacco). RNAcentral describes it as "MIR6020 microRNA precursor family". It matches the Rfam family "MIR6020 microRNA precursor family". The record is from Rfam by way of RNAcentral. Lineage: Eukaryota; Viridiplantae; Streptophyta; Magnoliopsida; Solanales; Solanaceae.
CUAUACAGACGACCUGUAAAUGUUUUUCGAGUAUCUUCAUUCUUCCCUCAUCCUACUGAUGUUUUAGAGAGGAAGAUACUCAGCAAAACAUUUACUGGUUACUUGUAUAG